GAUUAUAUAGCUCCAUGGUUAGAGCAUCCGUUAUGUGUUGGUGAGGUCCUAGGUUCAAUCCCUGGUGUGAUCA
Non-coding RNA from Coprinopsis marcescibilis, 73 nucleotides. Lineage: Eukaryota; Fungi; Basidiomycota; Agaricomycetes; Agaricales; Psathyrellaceae. The record is from the annotation of a GenBank genome assembly.